AGCAGCCGCGGUAAUUCCAGCUCCAAUAGCGUAUAUUAAAGUUGUUGCAGUUAAAAAGCUCGUAGUUGAAUUUCGGGAUUGACACAUCGGUCGUGCCUUAAGGGGUAUGAACUGGUGUAGUCAAUUUCUCACCUUCUGGAGAACCGCGAUGCCCUUAAUUGGGUGUCACGGGGAACCAGGACCUUUACUUUGAAAAAAUUAGAGUGUUUAAAGCAGGCAUUUUGCUUGAAUACAUUAGCAUGGAAUAAUAAAAUAGGACGGCAAUGAUUCUAUUUUGUUGGUUUCUAGGAUCACCGUAAUGAUUAAUAGGGAUAGUUGGGGGCAUUAGUAUUCAAUUGUCAGAGGUGAAAUUCUUGGAUUUAUUGAAGACUAACUACUGCGAAAGCAUUUGCCAAGGAUGUUUUCAUUAGUCAAGAACGAAAGUUAGGGAUCGAAGACGAUCAGAUACCGUCGUAGUCUUAACCAUAAACUAUGCCGACUAGGAAUCAGACGAUGUUAAUUUUUAAUGUACUCGUUUGCU
RNAcentral lists this ribosomal RNA (520 nucleotides) under uncultured Entrophospora. RNAcentral's name for it is "SSU rRNA". It matches the Rfam family "Eukaryotic small subunit ribosomal RNA", at positions 569 to 1084 of the family's 1831-position model. Lineage: Eukaryota; Fungi; Glomeromycota; Glomeromycetes; Entrophosporales; Entrophosporaceae. The record is from RNAcentral.